Molecule: transfer RNA, 64 nt
Filed under: Sciopemyia fluviatilis
Lineage: Eukaryota; Metazoa; Arthropoda; Insecta; Diptera; Psychodidae
Description: tRNA-Pro
Source: RNAcentral
CAGAAAAUAGUUUAAAUAAAAUAUUAAUUUUGGAGAUUAAUGAUAUAGGUUUCUUUUUUUCUGA